AUGGUAACCCAUCUGCUCUUUGCGGACGACAGCAUUGCUUUUCUGGAAGGAUCAGAGAAUAACCUACUGACGCUCAAGGCGAUCUUGGGGAACUAUGGGCUGGCAUCAGGACAGAAAGUAAACAUGCAAAAGUCGGCCAUAUUUUUUGGGAAGGGAUGUUCGGAGGAAAACAAAGAGCAGCUCAAGGCGGUCAUUGGGAUCAAUUCGGAAGCCUUGAGUGAGAAAUAUUUGAGUCUGCCGACUGCUGUGGGCAAGUCCAAAGAUGGUACUUUCAAAUAUGUUAGAGAGAGUGCCAAGGGAAAGGUC
This 306-nucleotide ribosomal RNA is filed under the name Triticum aestivum (bread wheat). RNAcentral describes it as "partial small subunit ribosomal RNA". Lineage: Eukaryota; Viridiplantae; Streptophyta; Magnoliopsida; Poales; Poaceae. The record is from RNAcentral.